GCAGAGGUAGCUCAGUCGGUAGAGCAUCAGACAAAAAAUGUGCUAAGUAUUAGCACUAACAGCAAUGUUAAAGGAAUCCGAGUGUCGGAGGUUCGAGUCCUCCCCUCUGCG
This 111-nucleotide transfer RNA is filed under the name Siphoviridae sp. cta6m1. RNAcentral describes it as "tRNA-Phe". It matches the Rfam family "tRNA". Rfam says of the family: Transfer RNA (tRNA) molecules are approximately 80 nucleotides in length. Their secondary structure includes four short double-helical elements and three loops (D, anti-codon, and T loops). Further hydrogen bonds mediate the characteristic L-shaped molecular structure. tRNAs have two regions of fundamental functional importance: the anti-codon, which is responsible for specific mRNA codon recognition, and the 3' end, to which the tRNAs corresponding amino acid is attached (by aminoacyl-tRNA synthetases). tRNAs cope with the degeneracy of the genetic code in two manners: having more than one tRNA (with a specific anti-codon) for a particular amino acid; and 'wobble' base-pairing, i.e. permitting non-standard base-pairing at the 3rd anti-codon position. The record is from RNAcentral. Lineage: Duplodnaviria; Heunggongvirae; Uroviricota; Caudoviricetes.